This 497-nucleotide ribosomal RNA is filed under the name uncultured bacterium. Its description in RNAcentral is "partial 16S ribosomal RNA". It matches the Rfam family "Bacterial small subunit ribosomal RNA", at positions 28 to 507 of the family's 1533-position model. The record is from RNAcentral.
GAUGAACGCUGGCGGCGUGCCUAAUACAUGCAAGUCGAGCGAACAGACGAGGAGUUUGCUCCUCUGACGUUAGCGGCGGACGGGUGAGUAACACGUGGAUAACCUACCUAUAAGACUGGGAUAACUUCGGGAAACCGGAGCUAAUACCGGAUAAUAUAUUGAACCGCAUGGUCCAAUAGUGAAAGACGGUUUUGCUGUCACUUAUAGAUGGAUCCGCGCCGCAUUAGCUAGUUGGUAAGGUAACGGCUUACCAAGGCGACGAUGCGGAGCCGACCUGAGAGGGUCGUCGGCCCCACUGGAACUGAGGCGCGGUCCAGGCUCCUACGCGAGGCAGCGGUACGGAAUCUUCCGCAAUGGGCGAAAGCCUGGCGGGACAACGCCGCGUGAGUGAUGAAGGUCUUCGGAUCGUAAAACUCUGUUAUUAGGGAAAAACAAAUGUGUAAGUAACUAUGCACGUCUUGACGGUACCUAAUCAGAAAGCCACGGCUAACUACGUG